AGUGAACGCUGGCGGUAGGCCUAACACAUGCAAGUCGAACGGCAGCACAGUAAGAGCUUGCUCUUACGGGUGGCGAGUGGCGGACGGGUGAGGAAUACAUCGGAAUCUACUUUUUCGUGGGGGAUAACGUAGGGAAACUUACGCUAAUACCGCAUACGACCUACGGGUGAAAGCAGGGGAUCUUCGGACCUUGCGCGAUUGAAUGAGCCGAUGUCGGAUUAGCUAGUUGGCGGGGUAAAGGCCCACCAAGGCGACGAUCCGUAGCUGGUCUGAGAGGAUGAUCAGCCACACUGUAAGUGAGACACGGUCCAGACUCCUACGGGAGGCAGCAGUGGGGAAUAUUGGACAAUGGGCGCAAGCCUGAUCCAGCCAUACCGCGUGGGUGAAGAAGGCCUUCGGGUUGUAAAGCCCUUUUGUUGGGAAAGAAAAGCAGCAGGUUAAUACCCCGCUGUUCUGACGGUACCCAAAGAAUAAGCACCGGCUAACUUCGUG
This 492-nucleotide ribosomal RNA is filed under the name uncultured bacterium. Its description in RNAcentral is "partial 16S ribosomal RNA". It matches the Rfam family "Bacterial small subunit ribosomal RNA", at positions 29 to 507 of the family's 1533-position model. The record is from RNAcentral.